This is a long non-coding RNA of Dreissena polymorpha, 1980 nucleotides long. RefSeq lists it as uncharacterized. The record is from RefSeq and is a predicted model, not a curated record. Lineage: Eukaryota; Metazoa; Mollusca; Bivalvia; Myida; Dreissenidae. The transcript is spliced from 5 exons.
AAAUUGCGUCGACAAGUGCUAAAAAAUGGCGUCGACAUCCGACCAUAACAGAACUGAACAGAAAACUGCGACACGGAUCGAGAACGACGAUCGAUGUAUUUUUAAUAAUUUGUUUCAUAAGCUAUUCGAUAGGGUCAGGGACAUUGACUUUUAACCGAAAGACAUUGCCAGGUUCAUAUAAUAUUCCGACCAAGAUUAACAGAUUGUGCGAGGACGAGAAAAGCUGGACAGGCGUUGGAUUGAAAUCGAAGACAUUCGUCUUUAUCUCGGCAACACACCGAGUCAGAAUUUUGGGAAAAAUCUCUAGAUGGGUACAAAUUUUUGUUGCUUGCAGCCUCUGAACAGACCCCUCCGCCAACACAAAUGCUUGUGCAGGGAAAUGAAGAGGACAUUUGAUGAGAUUGUGGAGGUCUUUCUUGCCUACCCAGCUGUGUGAAAACCUUGAAAAAAUGAGGAGACUUUGCAGGGAUAAACCUUCAGAUGAAUCAACCAUUAGCAGUAUACCAGAUUUGUUAUUGGGGCACAUAACUUCGUUAACAUCUGCAACAUGGAAUAAAAAUCUAUGUUACAAGCUGCAUGUGCCUUUGAAAGAACUUGUGCCCAGAGUUAAUGAAGGAUAGCUGAAGUUGAUGAUUAAACAGAAAUAGAAUCUUCCGACUAAGGGCUCUUGAACAAGACACAGCAUGAAGAGCCGAAAUUGUGCUGUUGUGUUUAGUCUAUGUUCGCCAUUAUUCAUUGUGAACUGUUAGUUAUGUAAAUUAAGCUUGCUGAAGGCCACAUAUUUUGCUUAAUCCUGAUUAAACUUGGUCAGAAUAUUUAUCAUGGCAAUAUGUAGGAAAGGUUUGAAUCUGUAUUAUUUUUCUCCUAAAACUAGAUCACAAAACCAAAUCUUUGAAAAAAAUGUUAUCACUUAAGAAGCCAUAUUUUGCAGCUCCAUCAUGAUGAAUCUUGGUCAAACUCCAUGUUUAUCGUGACAAUAUUUAGGUAAAGUUCGAAUGUGGGACACAUGCAUUAAAAAUCUAGACCAAUUCUUAUAAAAAUAAUCAUAACACUCUAGAGGCCACAUUUAUGAAUCCAUAUUGAUUAAAUGCGGUCAAAAUAUUCAUCGUGACACUAUGUGGACAGAGUUUGAAACUGGGCCCUGCGUGUCCAAAAACUUGGAAAAGCUUUAAGAUCAUCAUGAAGUGAUCGUUUAGAUGAAAUUUGCAAUAAGUGGUCAAUACAAUCAUUGUGAUAUAUCAAAUAUAAGAUUAAUCGUAGAACAAUAAUGCAACUCUUUUUCAGCAAUUACCCUUUUUCAUGAAAUGUAUCAUCCAGUAAAUAGUCAAUAUGACAAACUGGAAUGUGAUGAAAUACAAAGUGACUAUUGUUUAUGUGGAUUAUCAUCAAAUAGUGGAAAAGUGGACAAUAACAUGUAAUGAACUAAAAUUGGUGUUAUCUUAGUUGUGAAGAAAUACAAAGUGACAUCGCAUCGCUACCACCAUUGAACAAAUCCAUUAGGAGUUUGAAAAGUGUAUACCGUAAUAAUUAAUAAAUAUGUAUAAUCAGCACACAAUAUGUGAUGAGUAACUAAACAUACACAUGUAAAUCGAAUGUGAGGAAAUGCAAAAGGACAUUUCUAUUUUUGUGUCUUUAUGUAUAAAUCAAUUAUAAGUGUGAAGAGUGUGAAAUAUAUCAUCAAACAUAAUCAGGGAUAAGCAAGCAUCUAUCAAUAGACGUUUGAAAAAAGUUACUUUUGUAUUAAUUAUUUAAAGUGUUUAGUGUUGAGAGCGUAAUGAAGUUUUUGUAGUAAAACUGGAUAAUUAUUGGAUACACUGCAAAUGAGACUAAAUUGGACUCAUCCUUUCAAAACACAAUAUUUGAGGUGCCGGGCUACAAACUUGAAAGGAAAGACCGGAACAUUCAUGGUGGGGGUAUAGAGGCAUAUACUAGAUCUGACGUUGCUUCAAGUCGGCGGAAAGAUCUGGAAUGUGAUAAUCU